Long non-coding RNA from Salvia splendens (bonfire salvia), 1448 nucleotides. RefSeq lists it as uncharacterized. NCBI's taxonomy places the organism in Eukaryota, Viridiplantae, Streptophyta, Magnoliopsida, Lamiales, Lamiaceae. The record is from RefSeq and is a predicted model, not a curated record. The transcript is spliced from 10 exons.
CUAUGAAGGUGGAAGUGAAAAACAAAGUUCGUCUUGUAAGAUCGAUGACGUUGAGCUGUGUUACAUUCUGUAUUGAAACAGUAACAGAGCGACCAUACUUAAGGUUCGCGAGGAAUAUGUUCCCAUAUGCAUGGAGAUUGAUCUGCAUGGAUUAUCAGUCCCUUAAUGAUGGAACUCCUGAUGUGAGGAAUGCAGCUUUCUCAGCUUUGGCGGCUAUUUCCAAGAUGGUUGGCAUGAGACCUUUGGAAAAGUCUCCAGAAAAAUCCGGAUGAUGUCAGACAAAAGAAGUAUCUGAAAUGAUUGGGGGUCGAUGGGGGAUCCUUAUGCUCUUCCAAACUCAGGUGUGAUUCAAUCUUCUCGAGGAGUUAUGACAACGAGUUUCCUCUGAACUAGUAGAAUGGAUAUGAAGCAAACCACUUGCGGAUCUUUGCUGCAGCAACUGCAGCAAAUUUUGGAUAAAUUUGGUGAAAAUUACGAAGAGCGGGACAAAAUUCUUCUUCAAUUGGAUCAGGAGUGCUUGGAUGUGUACAAGAGAAAAGUUGACCUGACAUUGAAAUCUAGAGCCCACCUUCUUCAGACACUGGCAGAUGCUAGAGUUGAACUCACCAAUCUAUUAUCAGCUUUUGGAGAAAAGAAUUAUGUCGGAAAUGUAAGUGACGGACCUCAUGGUGUUCGAUAAUGACAUUUUCUUAAAGCUCUAGAAGUUAUAGCAAUGCGCCUGACAAGACGUCAGGAACGAACAAGGAACAGCUUCAAGGUAUAGCUCCUGCACUGGAUAAACUAUGGAAACAAAAGGAUGGGAAGAUAAAAGUGUAUUCUGAUGUUCAAUCUCAAAUACAGAACAUAUCUGCCGAGAUUGCUGGAACUAGUGUCCAGGUUAAGAAUAUCACAGUUGAUGAGGCCAAUCUAUCCAUGAAAAAAUUAGAUAGAGUUUAAUGCCCAGCUUCAAGAUCUUCAAAAGGAAAAGGUCUUUCUUGGUUUUUUAAGUUGACAGGCUGCACAAGUUUAUUGACUUGUCAGCACAGUUCACGAUCUUUGUUCUGUCCUUGCUCCUGGUGAUUUUUCAGAACUUUGUCGAACAUUAAAGAAGGUUAUCACCGAUGUUAACAUUACUGUGGGAAAAUAAAGAAAAAAAAGGAAAAAAAAAGAAAUAAAAAAGGAAAAAAGGGCAUCCUUGGUAGGGAUCCGAGAACCCUUCAUAAAAAAAAGGAAAUACAGGAAGAAAAAAAAAAGAAAAAAAAACAUUGCUGUUGCAGUUAAAGCUAUUCAAGCAUUGGGCAACUUUGCUAUGGAUCUGAGAACCCAUUUUUUGGCAAGAUGUCGCUUCUUAUUGCCUCUACUAUUGGAGAAAUUGUAGGAGAAGAAACCUACUUCAACUGAGGCCCUUACCCAAACUCUUCAGGCAAUGCCUAAGUCCAGAUGCUUGAGUGUAAAUGACACUGUUGAAG